CCUACGGGGGGCAGCAGUGAGGAAUAUUGGUCAAUGGGCGCGAGCCUGAACCAGCCAAGUAGCGUGAAGGAUGACUGCCCUAUGGGUGGUAAACUUCUUUUAUAAGGGAAUAAAGUGAAGCACGUGUGCCUUUUUGCAUGUACCUUAUGAAUAAGGAUCGGCUAACUCCGUGCCAGCAGCCGCGGUAAUACGGAGGAUCCGAGCGUUAUCCGGAUUUAUUGGGUUUAAAGGGAGCGUAGACGGGUUGUUAAGUCAGUUGUGAAAGUUUGCGGCUCAACCGUAAAAUUGCAGUUGAUACUGGCAGCCUUGAGUACAGUUGAGGUAGGCGGAAUUCGUGGUGUAGCGGUGAAAUGCUUAGAUAUCACGAAGAACUCCGAUUGCGAAGGCAGCUUACUAAACUGCCACUGACAUUGAUGCUCGAAAGUGUGGGUAUCAAACAGGAUUAGAUACCCUGGUAGUC
Molecule: ribosomal RNA, 460 nt
Filed under: uncultured bacterium
Lineage: Bacteria
Description: partial 16S ribosomal RNA
Rfam family: Bacterial small subunit ribosomal RNA
Source: RNAcentral